RNAcentral lists this ribosomal RNA (253 nucleotides) under uncultured bacterium. RNAcentral's name for it is "partial 16S ribosomal RNA". It matches the Rfam family "Bacterial small subunit ribosomal RNA", at positions 524 to 776 of the family's 1533-position model. The record is from RNAcentral.
UACGUAGGGGGCUAGCGUUGUCCGGAUUUAUUGGGCGUAAAGAGCGUGUAGGCGGUUGGGUAGGUCCGUUGUGAAAACUCGAGGCUCAACCUCGAGACGCCGAUGGAAACCCCCCAGCUAGAGUCCGGAAGAGGAGAGUGGAAUUCCUGGUGUAGCGGUGAAAUGCGCAGAUAUCAGGAAGAACACCCGUGGCUAAGGCGGCUCUCUAGUACGGUACUGACGCUGAGACGCGAAAGCGUGGGGAGCGAACAGG